GGAUCCGUCCCCCCCUCCCCCCCCCUCCUCCCCGGUCUGUCGGUCUGCUGCGGUGUAGGUCUCGAGAAGAUACCGAAACGCACGAAAGAUUGUUGCCGCCGAAUCGAAAGUAUAUUUUGGGGAACGGGUCCGGCGCGGUCCGGAACAAAAGUGAAAAUAAACACACGCGACCGGGGAGGCGUGAAUUAUGACCGCGGACACGCACGUAAAAAACGCGACGGGUUCGCCUUUUCGUGGGACGAACACUCUGUCGCUAUAUUAUAUAAUAAUAAUAAUAAUAAUAAUAUUAUUAUUAUUGUAAUAUACGGGCACAGGCUCUGUGCGUACAGGGCGAUUCAUUUCUCGCGGUAUAACGUUAUUGUGUACGGGUAUUGGACGUCGGAAUAUCGCGUUUCGGCGACGUUGUUUAUUGCCGGUGCGAUUCCGGGGCUCGGGUCGAAAAGGGCCACGUUUCGGGAAAUCAAAAACACUACACAUUUUCGGGCCAUUUAGAUGUUGCAACAGUAAUUUGUCCAACAACACCGGUCUUCUCGAAUCUCGCAACAACGCGGUUAUUGAAAAGCGCAUUUUUACCACCGGAAAAAGCGUACGCAAUUGUAUAUGAUUGGCCACACGACUCAUUUUCACCGAAAUGUGACGUCGGCCCUUAUCGACCCGAGCCCCAGAAUUAUACCGUUCGACAAACUGUGCGCGCUUUUCGUCGACCCGGAACCGGUGAACGAUUAUUAUUGUUACGUUACACUCUGUAGAUUGUCCGUCGGUAAACAAAACGUUUCCGAGCAACCGUAUGGUAAUGCAAUAUAGGUGACAAUUUUCGAGAAAAAAAAUACUACGCGACGACGACGACGACGGAACGAGAUCGGGUUCACAAUCGCCGCUGUAGGUUCGCGAUAAAACGGCAACCGUCCUGUAUACGAGUGAGUAUGUGCGUACGUGUUCGAGCGCGCCUGUAUAUUAUGCGGCGAGCCUGCACAGGCGGCCGCGGGUGAGUACGAAUAGUUUGGCAGCUUUUCGCGCGAUAAAUCACGCGGCGUUGCAAAGUCGGUAUGCGGUUGCCGACGCCGUAGCCGCGCCGCGCUAUAUUAUCACCCGUGAUUAGAACAGGCCUACGGGCGAGAACUGUCGCCGUGGUCGGGCCGCCCGGUCUUGUUACGAAAGAGCACUCCGCCGCGUCUCCCUCCGGUGAAAAACGUACGACGGGCCGCCUACCCGGGACGCGAAUGAAUUAUCGAGAGCGGGAGAGAAAUGAUGGGGAAAAAAAAAAAAAAAAUCGGCGACGCGAUUGUAACGUAUAAAGGCGGUCUUUCACCCGGUGCAGCGCCGGUGCUACGCCGACAAUAAUAUUACGCGUGUCGGCUGUGCGCGCAAAUACACGACCACG
Molecule: non-coding RNA, 1381 nt
Organism: Cinara cedri
Lineage: Eukaryota; Metazoa; Arthropoda; Insecta; Hemiptera; Aphididae
Source: the annotation of a GenBank genome assembly